AGCGAACGCUGGCGGCAGGCCUAACACAUGCCAGUCGAACGAACUCUUCGGAGUUAGUGGCGGACGGGUGAGUAACACGUGGGAACGUGCCUUUUGGUUCGGAAUAACUCAGGGAAACUUGUGCUAAUACCGAAUGUGCCCUUCGGGGGAAAGAUUUAUCGCCAUUAGAGCGGCCCGCGUCUGAUUAGCUAGUUGGUGAGGUAACGGCUCACCAAGGCGACGAUCAGUAGCUGGUCUGAGAGGAUGACCAGCCACACUGGGACUGAGACACGGCCCAGACUCCUACGGGAGGCAGCAGUGGGGAAUCUUGCGCAAUGGGCGAAAGCCUGACGCAGCCAUGCCGCGUGAGUGAUGAAGGUCUUAGGAUUGUAAAAUUCUUUCACCGGGGACGAUAAUGACGGUACCCGGAGAAGAAGCCCCGGCUAACUUCGUG
This 433-nucleotide ribosomal RNA is filed under the name uncultured bacterium. Its description in RNAcentral is "partial 16S ribosomal RNA". It matches the Rfam family "Bacterial small subunit ribosomal RNA", at positions 29 to 507 of the family's 1533-position model. The record is from RNAcentral.